GAGCAAUCUGCCCUUGACUCUGGGAUAAGCGUUGGAAACGACGUCUAAUACCGGAUACGACCCUUGGAGGCAUCUCUGGGGGUGGAAAGAAUUUUGGUCAGGGAUGAGCUCGCGGCCUAUCAGCUAGUUGGUGAGGUAAUGGCUCACCAAGGCGACGACGGGUAGCCGGCCUGAGAGGGUGACCGGCCACACUGGGACUGAGACACGGCCCAGACUCCUACGGGAGGCAGCAGUGGGGAAUAUUGCACAAUGGGCGAAAGCCUGAUGCAGCAACGCCGCGUGAGGGACGACGGCCUUCGGGUUGUAAACCUCUUUUAGUAGGGAAGAAGCGAAAGUGACGGUACCUGCAGAAAAAGCACCGGCUAACUACGUGCCAGCAGCCGCGGUAAUACGUAGGGUGCAAGCGUUGUCCGGAAUUAUUGGGCGUAAAGAGCUCGUAGGCGGUUUGUCGCGUCUGCUGUGAAAACCCGAGGCUCAACCUCGGGCCUGCAGUGGGUACGGGCAGACUAGAGUGCGGUAGGGGAGAUUGGAAUUCCUGGUGUAGCGGUGGAAUGCGCAGAUAUCAGGAGGAACACCAAUGGCGAAGGCAGAUCUCUGGGCCGUAACUGACGCUGAGGAGCGAAAGCAUGGGGAGCGAACAGGAUUAGAUACCCUGGUAGUCCAUGCCGUAAACGUUGGGAACUAGAUGUGGGGACCAUUCCACGGUCUCCGUGUCGCAGCUAACGCAUUAAGUUCCCCGCCUGGGGAGUACGGCCGCAAGGCUAAAACUCAAAGGAAUUGACGGGGGCCCGCACAAGCGGCGGAGCAUGCGGAUUAAUUCGAUGCAACGCGAAGAACCUUACCAAGGCUUGACAUAUAGAGGAAACGGCUGGAAACAGUCGCCCCGCAAGGUCUCUAUACAGGUGGUGCAUGGUUGUCGUCAGCUCGUGUCGUGAGAUGUUGGGUUAAGUCCCGCAACGAGCGCAACCCUCGUCCUAUGUUGCCAGCACGUAAUGGUGGGAACUCAUGGGAUACUGCCGGGGUCAACUCGGAGGAAGGUGGGGAUGACGUCAAAUCAUCAUGCCCCUUAUGUCUUGGGCUUCACGCAUGCUACAAUGGCCGGUACAAAGGGCUGCAAUACCGCAAGGUGGAGCGAAUCCCAAAAAGCCGGUCUCAGUUCGGAUUGAGGUCUGCAACUCGACCUCAUGAAGUCGGAGUCGCUAGUAAUCGCAGAUCAGCAACGCUGCGGUGAAUACGUUCCCGGGCCUUGUACACACCGC
Molecule: ribosomal RNA, 1259 nt
Filed under: Cryobacterium psychrotolerans
Lineage: Bacteria; Bacillati; Actinomycetota; Actinomycetes; Micrococcales; Microbacteriaceae
Description: bacterial SSU rRNA
Rfam family: Bacterial small subunit ribosomal RNA
Source: RNAcentral